This 377-nucleotide ribosomal RNA is filed under the name uncultured bacterium. RNAcentral's name for it is "bacterial SSU rRNA". It matches the Rfam family "Bacterial small subunit ribosomal RNA", at positions 521 to 896 of the family's 1533-position model. The record is from RNAcentral.
UAAUACGGAGGGUGCGAGCGUUGCUCGGAAUCACUGGGCGUAAAGCGUACGCAGGCUGUUUCGUAAGUCGGGUGUGAAAGCCCGGGGCUCAACCCCGGAAUUGCGCCCGAGACUGCGGAGCUUGAAUGCGGGAGAGGGAAGCGGAAUUCCUGGUGUAGAGGUGAAAUUCGUAGAUAUCAGGAGGAACACCGGUGGCGAAAGCGGCUUCCUGGCCCGACAUUGACGCUCAUGUACGAGAGCGUGGGGAGCAAACAGGAUUAGAUACCCUGGUAGUCCACGCUGUAAACGAUGAGUGCUAGCUGCUGGGAAUGUCUACCGUCUCAGUGGCGAAGCUAACGCAUUAAGCACUCCGCCUGGGAAGUACGGCCGCAAGGCUA